This is a non-coding RNA of Lacerta agilis (Sand lizard), 68 nucleotides long. NCBI's taxonomy places the organism in Eukaryota, Metazoa, Chordata, Lepidosauria, Squamata, Lacertidae. The record is from the annotation of a RefSeq genome assembly.
AAGGUUCUAGUAAAUUAAUUACAUAGCUCUGUCAGUGCUAAAUUACAGAUUAAAACCUGUGAACCUUA